Molecule: non-coding RNA, 73 nt
Organism: Ameiurus melas (black bullhead)
Lineage: Eukaryota; Metazoa; Chordata; Actinopteri; Siluriformes; Ictaluridae
Source: the annotation of a GenBank genome assembly
UCCCUGAUGGACUAGUGGCUAGCAUGCGGCGCUUUCAUAGAUCGAAUCCUAGGAUCGAUUUCUGGUCAGGGAA